UGUAUAAAUGCAGCUUCAGCCGACAUAGAAAAACGAGUAAAAUAAGACUCAUAGUAAAGAGAGGUACUUUUUCCAAAAGGGUUUUUUGACUGACCACGCGUGACUACUGUCAAACUAAAUAGAUAAUUUUUUCAGUAUUCGUUGACAUUUCAUCAUGGAAAGACUUACGCCUCCACAACAUUUACAAAUUGUUCAAUUCUAGUGCAAAUAUCCACGCUCGGUGAAAAGUGUUCAUCACCCGCUCAGGUCAACUUAUGGUGUACAUAACCGUCCUACUGAACACACUAUUCGGCAAACUAACAGAAAAAUUGAGAACAACUUUACAAUAUUGGAUGAUAUUCGACCAAUUAGACUACGUACAGCGCCAAGUAAAGAGAAUAUUGCGGCUCUAAAUGAGACUUUUGCCGAAGAAUCGAUUCGCCGAUCUCAACAACUUGGCCUAUCUUAUGGCACUACUUGGGCGAUUUUACGCAAAGAUCUUGAUUUGAAAGCGUAUAAAAUACAACUAGUCCAAGUUUUGAAGCCGGCCGAUCUUCUAAGCCGUCAUAAUUUCAGUCGUUGGGCUCUUGAAAAACUCGCCGAAGGUCCGCAUUUUUGAACCCGAAUUAUGUUCAGCGGUGAGGCCCAUUUUCGGUUUAAUGGGUACGUCACUAAGCAACAUUGUCAUACUUGGGAUGAAGAGCAAGCAAUACGAGACUGGCGCCAAUUUAACAGUAAAUUGCGACUGGUGCUGUAGUAUCCCAAUCAUUCAACCCAAUUUCGCAACAUUUUUCUAUUGACCUGCACAAGUUGGUCACUGUACUUAAAGUCGUUUUAAGACAUCGUCGAGAAAAAUUUGCGCUUCCUUAUGUAGUAGUUCAAUAUGCACUUAAUUCUCGCCAGUAAAGCAACAGGUGAAUUCAUUUCAAAACGUGAGAGCAGUCGCAAAAAGGGGCACAGAAACGUUUUUGGUAGCGCAUGGCACACAUAUGGUUGAAGAUGCUGCCAAUGCUGCUUGAGAGUUACAUCUACAUACAUAAAUAGCUACUGUCUGGAAGGAAUAAAAACGGACCUUGUGAGCACAUUUUUGUACAUCCUCAUGUGUUUGUUGUAAAUACCAAAGUAUAGUGAAUUAAUACAUACUUCAAGUAAAAAAUAUCUCAAGUGCAGUGACAGCAGGCGUCGAAAAGCAAUUGAUAAACAUGUGGAAAGUACGCUGUUAAUAAAGAAGAGAAAUAAGGCCGGAGAUUUAAGCAACGAUUGUUGUUGCAAUAAAAGUCAUUUAAUGCGCACAAAAAACUUGCAGACUUGUUUAAAUAAAGCGUCAAGUUGUAAAAAAGCAUUGACAUUGAAUGAGCUCAAAAUAUUGUGACUGGCCGGUAACUUUGUAAAACAAUACACAUACAUACAUAUACACACCUUGUAAUAUAGUAUGUGCACAAAUUUGCACAAGCAUUUAGUAUGCACCCUGUAGAGAAAAACCUGAGCUAAAUUUAUUCCUCCCUAAUACCAUUUCGCCGAUUGCGAAGCACUCGCUAUAUGUUUAUAUGUCUUUAGAGUUUAGCCAAAGACCGUACUAUACGUUUACUUAAAUACACGAAAAUGCAAUAGCGGAUUAAAUUUAUAGUUCAUUAUUCAUUCAAAUAUGAUACUGGGCAGUUCCCCUAAGAUUGGUUAAAAUCUGUUUUUAUCUCUUUGCCAAAACAACCUUAGACUAAAAAUGCUAUGAGUAUCGCUUGAUCAGCUUAAUGAGUCACU
This is a long non-coding RNA of Anastrepha ludens (Mexican fruit fly), 1737 nucleotides long. RefSeq lists it as uncharacterized. The record is from RefSeq and is a predicted model, not a curated record. The transcript is spliced from 3 exons. NCBI's taxonomy places the organism in Eukaryota, Metazoa, Arthropoda, Insecta, Diptera, Tephritidae.